GUCUACUGCCAUACCAUCCUGAAAGCGCCCGAUCUCGUCUGAUCUCGAAAGCUAAGCAGGGUCGGGCCUGGUUAGUACUUGGAUGGGAGACCGCUAGAGAAUGCCAGGUGCUGUAGGCU
This 119-nucleotide ribosomal RNA is filed under the name Aotus nancymaae (Ma's night monkey). The record is from RNAcentral. Lineage: Eukaryota; Metazoa; Chordata; Mammalia; Primates; Aotidae.